UAAAAAGCUCGUAGUUGGAUCUGUGUCCCGGAUGGUCGGUGCGCCGCUCGCGGUGUUUUCACUGACUCUUCCGGACGUCCUGCCGGUGGACCGUUCGUCGGCCCCCUCGGGGGUUCGCGCGGGCGGCCCUGACUCCCUCCGCGCUGCUCUUAACCGAGCGGUUCGGUGGGCCGGCAAGUUUACUUUGAACAAAUUUGAGUGCUCAAAGCAGGCGGCAAGUCGCCUGAAAACUGUGUGCAUGGAAUAAUGGAAUAGGACUUCGGUUCUAUUUUGUUGGCUUUUCUGAACCCGAAGUAAUGAUUAAUAGGGACAGACGGGGGCAUUCGUAUUGAGGCGUUAGAGGUGAAAUUCUUGGAUCGCCUCAAGACGGACGGAUGCGAAAGCGUUUGCCAAGAAUGUUUUCGCUAAUCAAGAACGAAAGUUAGAGGUUCGAAGGCGAUCAGAUACCGCCCUAGUUCUAACCAUAAACGAUGCCAGCCAGCGAUGCGCCCGAGUUCCUCCGAUGACUGGGCGCGCAGCUUCCGGGAAACCAAAGCUUUUGGGUUCCGGGG
Molecule: ribosomal RNA, 551 nt
Filed under: Ephemera formosana
Lineage: Eukaryota; Metazoa; Arthropoda; Insecta; Ephemeroptera; Ephemeridae
Description: SSU rRNA
Rfam family: Eukaryotic small subunit ribosomal RNA
Source: RNAcentral